AAGUCGUAACAAGGUUUCCGUAGGUGAACCUGCGGAAGGAUCAUUAUUGAAUGAAUCUAGAGUUGGUUGUCGCUGGCCUCUUCGCGGAGGCAUGUGCACGCCUUCUCUUUCAUCCACACACACCUGUGCACCUGUGAGACGGGAGGCCUUUCUUUAGAAGAGGGGGGGUUUCCGUCUGCCAAUACACAAACUCAUAUAUUGUAAUCUGAAUGUAAUUGAUGUAACGCAUCUAUAAACUAAGUUUCAACAACGGAUCUCUUGGCUCUC
Molecule: unclassified non-coding RNA, 267 nt
Filed under: fungal sp.
Lineage: Eukaryota; Fungi
Description: partial internal transcribed spacer region
Rfam family: Eukaryotic small subunit ribosomal RNA (bases 1-46)
Source: RNAcentral